RNAcentral lists this transfer RNA (32 nucleotides) under Lotharella globosa. Its description in RNAcentral is "partial Selenocysteine transfer RNA". Lineage: Eukaryota; Cercozoa; Chlorarachniophyceae. The record is from RNAcentral.
CUCACGGGCUUCAAACCCGAGGGUGCCGCACA